RNAcentral lists this small RNA (920 nucleotides) under Pan troglodytes (chimpanzee). RNAcentral describes it as "retained intron". Lineage: Eukaryota; Metazoa; Chordata; Mammalia; Primates; Hominidae. The record is from RNAcentral.
GGCUCCCUUACCGUCAGCAAUGCCUACAGGCUCCGAUCUCAGCAGCGGCUGCAGCCCUGCCCCCCUAGCUCAGCACUCCGUGCAGACACCAGUCUUCCCCGUGUUAGCAUUUCCCUCAGGCUCUCACUCCAACCUUAGCGUUCCCAGUAGACCCGACCUCCCAACCGCGACACUUCCUGAAUUUCUCACCCCAGCCUCAGCAGCACUUGGACAACCUCACCCCGACCCCCAGCCUCGUUUCUUGCUGCAGACCUCCAACCUCAAUAUUUCUGCAGCCCCUCAGUCCUCUCCCAGACCCCUCCUCACUAUUUCCAGACCCUUCCGGAGCACCGCCUUCAUUUUAGACAUCCUUGCCCUGGCAACCGCACUCGCCCCUCCUGCCGAGCCCCUGGAGCCUCCGCACCUACGGAACUGUGUUCAAGGCCAAAAACCGGGAGACUCAUGAGAUCGUGGCUCUGAAACGGGUGAGGCUGGAUGACGAUGAUGAGGGUGUGCCGAGUUCCGCCCUCCGGGAGAUCUGCCUACUCAAGGAGCUGAAGCACAAGAACAUCGUCAGGCUUCAUGACGUCCUGCACAGCGACAAGAAGCUGACUUUGGUUUUUGAAUUCUGUGACCAGGACCUGAAGAAGUAUUUUGACAGUUGCAAUGGUGACCUCGAUCCUGAGAUUGUAAAGUCAUUCCUCUUCCAGCUACUAAAAGGGCUGGGAUUCUGUCAUAGCCGCAAUGUGCUACACAGGGACCUGAAGCCCCAGAACCUGCUAAUAAACAGGAAUGGGGAGCUGAAAUUGGCUGAUUUUGGCCUGGCUCGAGCCUUUGGGAUUCCCGUCCGCUGUUACUCAGCUGAGGUGGUCACACUGUGGUACCGCCCACCGGAUGUCCUCUUUGGGGCCAAGCUGUACUCCACGUCCAUCGACAUGUGG